AUCGCUUCUCAGCCUUUUGGCUAAGAUCAAGUGUAGUAUCUGUUCUUAUCAGUUUCAAGUGAAGUAAAAUACUUAGGGUAUCUGCUUUGAGCCAAGUGCUCUGCUGAGGUUGGGCAGUGGAGAUUUGAAACAGAC
This 135-nucleotide small nuclear RNA is filed under the name Erinaceus europaeus (western European hedgehog). Its description in RNAcentral is "U2 spliceosomal RNA (ENSEEUG00000023209.1)". The stretch from base 1 to 96 matches the Rfam family "U2 spliceosomal RNA". Rfam says of the family: U2 is a small nuclear RNA (snRNA) component of the spliceosome (involved in pre-mRNA splicing). Complementary binding between U2 snRNA (in an area lying towards the 5' end but 3' to hairpin I) and the branchpoint sequence (BPS) of the intron results the bulging out of an unpaired adenosine, on the BPS, which initiates a nucleophilic attack at the intronic 5' splice site, thus starting the first of two transesterification reactions that mediate splicing. The record is from RNAcentral. Lineage: Eukaryota; Metazoa; Chordata; Mammalia; Eulipotyphla; Erinaceidae.